Molecule: long non-coding RNA, 453 nt
Organism: Equus quagga
Lineage: Eukaryota; Metazoa; Chordata; Mammalia; Perissodactyla; Equidae
Exons: 3
Source: RefSeq, a predicted model, not a curated record
GUGACACUCUCUGCAGGUUUCAGAAUACCUGGGUCUGAAUAGAAUGCCUUCUCAGGCUAGAAAACUCGAUCAUGGCGGGGGCAGACGAGCUCCCAGUCCCACGUCACCAAUACCCGGGAUUCCUAAAGUCAGAGGACCUCUCUCACUCUGCUUUCAACUAAAAGCUCACGCAUGAAACAGCAAAGGCUCACAGAGAGGAAGAUCGGGACCGGUGCCACGAGGCGGCGUGUACUGUGAAUCCCUUGUGAAAGUCCAUCAUUUCGCAGGGGGAAAAUAUGACAUCUAACCCUUUUUUCCUGAGAAAACAAUCACCCUCCUCCAUCCUUUGCCAACAACAAUCACUUUCCCGUUUAUUGUAGGAGCGGCAGCGUCCGCAGUUCGAGAGAACGGCUGCCCUGGCUGGGGAAAGAUUCACCCUGAGCCAACAUCUGUUGCCAACUUCCUCUCUCUUUU